GAACUGCUUCAUAAUCUUCAGUAACACCAGGCUUGUGUGCCAUUUCCUUGUCUGUAGCCAUGUCUAUGGGCCCUUGAGUUAGCCACCUGGGUGAGGGCCUGUUUUUUC
RNAcentral lists this microRNA precursor (108 nucleotides) under Chlorocebus sabaeus (green monkey). RNAcentral describes it as "miRNA (ENSCSAG00000025731.1)". The stretch from base 20 to 103 matches the Rfam family "mir-571 microRNA precursor family". Lineage: Eukaryota; Metazoa; Chordata; Mammalia; Primates; Cercopithecidae. The record is from RNAcentral.